This 788-nucleotide ribosomal RNA is filed under the name uncultured bacterium. RNAcentral describes it as "bacterial SSU rRNA". It matches the Rfam family "Bacterial small subunit ribosomal RNA", at positions 8 to 796 of the family's 1533-position model. The record is from RNAcentral.
AGAGUUUGAUCCUGGCUCAGAACGAACGCUGGCGGCGUGCUUAACACAUGCAAGUCGCGUGCGCAGUUGCCGUAGCAAUACGGUGAUGGGCGCACGGCGCACGGGUGUGUAACACGUGGGCAAUCUGCCCUUUGAUGGGGAAUAACCCGCCGAAAGGCGGGCUAAUUCCGCAUAAGAUUCCCGGGACUUCGGUUCCGGGAUUGAAAGCAGCAAUGCGUCGAAGGAGGAGCCCGCGCCCGAUUAGCUAGUUGGUGAGGUAACGGCUCACCAAGGCUAUGAUCGGUAGCUGGUCUGAGAGGAUGAUCAGCCACACUGGAACUGAGACACGGUCCAGACUCCUACGGGAGGCAGCAGUGGGGAAUCUUGCACAAUGGGCGAAAGCCUGAUGCAGCGACGCCGCGUGGGGGAUGAAGCAUUUCGGUGUGUAAACCCCUUUCGACUGGGACGAAUGCCUCGCAAGAGGAGUGACGGUACCAGUAGAAGAAGCCCCGGCUAACUACGUGCCAGCAGCCGCGGUAAGACGUAGGGGGCCAGCGUUGUUCGGAAUUACUGGGUAAAGGGUUCGUAGGCGGUGCGGCAAGUUGGGAGUGAAAUCUUUGGGCUUAACCCAGAGGCUGCUUCCAAAACUGCUGUGCUCGAGUGUGAGAGAGGCGCGUGGAAUUGCAGGUAGCGGUGAAAUGCGUAGAUAUCUGCAGGAACACCCGUGGCGAAAGCGGCGCGCUGGAUCACUACUGACGCUGAGGAACGAAAGCUAGGGGAGCAAACAGGAUUAGAUACCCUAGUAGUCC